UAUUUAAAUAGAUUUAACUAUUAAAUUAUUUUUAUAUAAUUUUUAUUUAAUUAAUAAUUAGAUUUAUAAAACUAUAUAAAAAUAUAAAAAAAUAAAAUUUAUUAUAAAAAUAUUUUUAUAUCCGCAGCAUCGCGCGGGUAUUUCACUAGUAUUAGAUUAUAUUAUAUUUGGCAAUAUUAUUGUCACGUUUGGGCUCCAGCGGAAGCCUGCUCGACGCAUACACAGACUCACCGUAUACAUCAAGCACCCCCGGUGCACAUAAGGUGUCUACAAUAACUAUAGAAGGAAGUAGGAAAAUCCUAAACAUGAUGAUCGGAGCAAGUACAUAAAUCUACUGCAUAAGGAAGUCUAGUACAUAUACACAAUCACAAGAUAUUGUAUGAACAAAAAGUUCUAAUUCUCAAUUUUUAAUUUUCAAAUUUAAUUUUUAAAUUUUAAGUUUCAAAUUUUAAAUUUGAAAUUUCAUUGAAAUUUUAAAUUUUAAAUUUUUACUUUUGAUUUUAAAAUUUAGGGAAAUCUCGUGAAAUUGCACAAUGCGCAUCCAAAAAAUUUAAAAAUUGAAUCCGUGGAUUUUUUUAGAGUUAAAGGAUUCUCUAUUUUAUUUGGACCAAAAUCACAAUUUAUAAAUUCCGCGAAGAUUUUUUUACCGUGCAUCCAAACAGGCCAUGAACUAGGGAUGUCAAUAGGCAUGGAUACCCGAAAUAUUACCCGAACCUGAACCCGAACGGAACGGAUUUACCCGAGCUAAACGGAUAUAAAUUUGGUUAUGGGUAUAGAAAAUGAAAACCGGACGGAUAUGAAUACGGAUAUGAAUUUUGUAUUUACCCGAUCCGAAUCCGAACCCGACCCGAACCUGAACCCAAACCCAAACCCGAAUAAAUUAUAUAUAUAAAUACUUUAUUUUUAUUUAUUUAUAUAAUAUAUAAAAUAUUUAAUAAUUUUUAUCUCUUAGAUCUUCAUUCAACAGUAUGAAUUUUUAAAAUCCGCUGGGUUCGGGUUCGGGUCCGAGUUCGGAUUUCAGGUUUUUAGUCAGGUACGGAUAUGGGUAUGAAUUUUUAAAAUCUGCCGGAUUCGGGUCCGAAUAUGGAUUUUAAUUUAGUUUUCGGGUUCGGGUUCGGAUUCGGAUUUUUAAAAAU
Molecule: long non-coding RNA, 1136 nt
Filed under: Ananas comosus (pineapple)
Lineage: Eukaryota; Viridiplantae; Streptophyta; Magnoliopsida; Poales; Bromeliaceae
Description: long non-coding RNA (ACOM_LNC021155)
Source: RNAcentral